RNAcentral lists this ribosomal RNA (253 nucleotides) under uncultured bacterium. RNAcentral's name for it is "partial 16S ribosomal RNA". It matches the Rfam family "Bacterial small subunit ribosomal RNA", at positions 524 to 776 of the family's 1533-position model. The record is from RNAcentral.
UACGAAGGGGGCUAGCGUUGUUCGGAAUUCCUGGGCGUAAAGGGCGCGUCGGCGGUACUUCAAGUCAGGCGUGAAAGCCCCGGGCUCAACCUGGGAACCGCGCUUGAGACUGGAGAACUAGAGUUCGGGAGAGGAUGGUGGAAUUCCCAGUGUAGAGGUGAAAUUCGUAGAUAUUGGGAAGAACACCGAUGGCGAAGGCAGCCAUCUGGACCGACACUGACGCUGAGGCGCGAAAGCGUGGGGAGCAAACAGG